This 253-nucleotide ribosomal RNA is filed under the name uncultured bacterium. RNAcentral's name for it is "partial 16S ribosomal RNA". It matches the Rfam family "Bacterial small subunit ribosomal RNA", at positions 524 to 776 of the family's 1533-position model. The record is from RNAcentral.
UACGGAGGAGGCAAGCGUUAUCCGGAAUUAUUGGGCGUAAAGCGUCCGCAGGUGGCACUUCAAGUCUGUCGUCAAAGAUUGGGGCUUAAUCCUGGAAAGGCGGUGGAAACUGAAGUGCUAGAGUGCGGUAGGGGUAGAGGGAAUUCCCGGUGUAGCGGUGAAAUGCGUAGAGAUCGGGAAGAACAUCGGUGGCGAAAGCGCUCUACGGGACCGCAACUGACACUCAGGGACGAAAGCUAGGGGAGCGAAUGGG